RNAcentral lists this long non-coding RNA (725 nucleotides) under Homo sapiens (human). RNAcentral describes it as "HSALNT0318893". The record is from RNAcentral. Lineage: Eukaryota; Metazoa; Chordata; Mammalia; Primates; Hominidae.
CUGUGGGGGAUGGGGGUGUGCUUUCUGGGACAAUGGAGUUAUGUUCCCAGGGGGAUUAUGGCUGUCUUUGCUGUGUCACAUAGGUCACCAGGGAAGUGGGGGAAAGCCAGCAGACACAGUCCUCACCCAGUUCCCACACAGCCCACAGCCCAAAAGGCCGGUCUCACUGCUACCAUGCCCCCACAACAGCACUGAGUUUAUUUCCAGGUAGCCAGUGAGCAAUGCUGAGAACUUUCUUCAGACUACAAGCCUGUCAACUGAGAAAGUAAGCCAACUGACAGUUCCUUAGCUGUCCCACGGAGCCUGCAGAGGCAGACCACCUCCUUCAAAGGGACCGUGGGUUCUCUUGGCUUUCCUGCCUUCCAUAAAACCAACAAUGCCAAAAAGAUAAUAUCAUGUAUCUUACAACAUAAAAUAUGCCAAUGGUCUACAGACCUCGAUUCAUUUUAAACUUAAGCAAGCAUUGGAAUUCAGAACAGUUCCUCUUUAAUGGCCUCUCCUGAGAACUGACCACUUUCAGGGAAAAUCAUUACUGGCUCGACAGUUAGAUCAUGCCACUUGAUCAUCAAAUUUACCUACACCUGUUGCUUUCUAGCCAAAUGUCCUCCUCCCUAUAUAAGAAGACCCCAUUCUGUCUAAACUUUGAGAUAGGCAUAGAUUUUAUCCUGAGAAUAUUCUCCCUUUCACAAUGGUCUCCCUCCAUUUAUUGCAGUAGUCUAUUUGAA